GGGUCCGUGGUCUAGUCUGGCUAUGAGAUAUUAAGUUAAGAACUGAUAUCUAGUUAACGUUGCCUCGACAUGGCAAAGAUCGGGUGUUCAAAUCACCCCGGACCCA
RNAcentral lists this transfer RNA (106 nucleotides) under Nanobdellota archaeon. RNAcentral describes it as "tRNA-OTHER". Lineage: Archaea; Nanobdellati; Nanobdellota. The record is from RNAcentral.